UUCAGAAAAUAUACACUUGUCUCUGGUUCUUUACAGGAAACAUAGCUUCUUACCGUGGUACAAAAACCUUGUUCUGAGGCCUCAACUGAAGCUGUUUGCACAGGAAAGACAGUGGGAUAAGCCAGAGGUAGUGCUGUAGUUGACAGCCAUCACUCCUACUCACUGCAUUACCAAUGAUUGCCGAUCUAAUGAAACGAGACCCUCAGAAAAUUCAGACUGAAAAUUUGAUUAGGGCAGUAGAACCGGCAUUUGAGAGGCUGCAUUGACAGCUACAACCCAUAAUCCACAAUAAUGCUGCCAACGCAUGGGUUAUUCCUGAACUUUAAGAAGCCUCCUGUAUCUUCCUUGCUAUUUGCAAAUCUGAAAAUAUGACAUAGCUUGAGAAUGUGAAAUAUCUAAGAUUUCGGUGCCUUGAGAUUUUUUCAUUUCAAAGUUUAAUAAAAAGAUAUUAAAAGAAAGAAGAAUGAAAGAAGAGAUUUCUAGUAUUGCGCUUAGAACAAAUAAAGCCUAAGGCCCUUCAUAGCACAAACGCCUACUCACAUGUGACAAUGGGACAACUGCUGUGCAGAAAGUAACUCACGGAUGUUUGUAGAAUCAGGGCCUACAUCAGUACUUUAAAGAUGCCUUUUUUAAUGAUGUUUCUGCUGUGUAUCUGCUGAAAACAGUUGGCAGGUGGAUUUGCUGCAAUGCAUACCCAUCAGCCCCACAUCAUCCCUCCUCUGAAUGCCCUGCCCCAUCAAACCCCACUCUGCACCCCAGGACAGAGACUGCACUCUACCAUAUAUAACGAUACGCACACACACAAUCAAUGUUUCUGCAUUCAGCACCUCACCCCAUUAGGGUUCCCUGCGCAGGGCCAAAUUCUGGCCCUCAUCAUAAAUAUCUCACAAAACCUCUUGUGGCCCUCUUAGGAUACAAAACCAUAGGAGGAGGCUUUGAGGAAGUAAUAGACAAACAAUUCCCCCUAUACUGUCUUGUCAGUGGAGCAGGGUUUGAAAAGGCUGUCAGAGGCACCCCCGAUCUUGCAGAUACCCAGAGAUCCACAAGAGGCCUGUGCCUCUGUGGCAGUUCUAAGUCAUAGUAGAAGUUGUGCUGUCAAGGCUGAUUCCUAACUAUGAAUGUCCCAAGACUGCCCCUACUCUGUAUUCCACCUCAUCUCCACAGAAUCAGAGGUGGAACGGUAAGUGCUUCUCCCACAGUCCCAUUCAUAGAAUAUCAGGGUUGGAAGGGACCUCAGGAGGUCAUCUAGUCCAACCCCCUGCUCAAAGCAGGACCAAACCCCAAUUUUUGCCCCAGUUCCCUAAAUGGCCCCCUCAAGGAUUGAACUCACAACCCUGGGUUUAGCAGGCCAAUGCUCAAACCACUGAGCUAUCCCUCCCCCGCAUUCACCCCAUAUGACCUGCCUCUCCAUUCCUCUACUCAGCCCACCCAGUCUACAACCCCUCUCCAGUGUAGAUGCCUGACCCACACAGACCAACAUAGUCCUCUUCAUCUGGAGGAGCUGGGGUGAUACUGCAGAAACAUCUGAACCUCUCUUCCCAAGUGGGAGGCAAGGAAAUCCACUCACAGAGAGUCUCCUCUUUGUGCAGAGAUCAUGGAAUGAUUGUGUGUGGAAUGAUCCAGGCUUCUGCUCUUAGUUAUUCUCGUUACUACAGAUUUACUCUCACUGGUAUAAAUGCAAAAAGAAUUUGAUCCAUGGUAUGGCACUUAGACCUUCAGCUCAAGGAACAAGAAAGUAGACUUUAUCGUCAUUUGUUACAAGUAAAGUAGACUUUGUUGCUGAAAUAAAAUUGGGGUUUAUUUAUCUUAGAUAACAAUUCACAUUUUUGCAAAGAUACCCAUUGCUCUGGUGACUGGACAAAAAUGUUAUGCCACAGACAGGCAAGUAUUUCUUCACUGUGCAUACAUUGUUGCUAUACAUUGCCAUGCACUGGUAUGUUACAUAAGAGAUGGUUCCCUGUACAUUGAGAAUGUUAAGUACAGGCUGCUACAGUAAAGUGUUCAUUUUUUUCAGCAACGCUGUAACUCCUAACUAACUGAAUUGUCACAUUGGUUUAUGAAUUUAGCAGGAAUAUGUUUUAACAAAUGAGAUUCUUUUAAAAUUUUUGUUCUACUAGUUCUGCCUUAUGCAAAAAUAUUGUAAACGUUCCUUUAAGCAGUUUGGACAACAGGGUGGAAAAUAUGUUAUAAACUUUAGGGGAGAUUGUCAAGUAUUUGUAUCCUAAUUUUAAACUUCACUUUCUGUUAUAAAUAUCACCUUAUAAUAAAGGAUUUGCCAUGCAAUGUAAGACCACGUUAACUUGUCUCUGCUUGUGGCUGUGGCCAGGUUCAUCAAUAAAAAGUAAAUAGAGAAUAUUUUCAGUUAUGUUGAACCAAUAACUACACCAGAAACCUGAUUCUAAGAAUUCCAAUCUAAACAAAAACAAUAGCAUGUGUGUGACCCAAGGAGUCCCUCACUGCCAACUGGCAGAGGGAACAUUGUAUCAUAAUUCACAUCAGGCCUGGCACACUUGUCCCAACAUGGUCAUACUCUAUCUAAACUGUGUCACGUAAGGUAUCAUGUGCAAACCAGUAACUAGCUGGUCAUUAAGAUUAUUGUGGAAGGUAUGUAUGGGUGGUGUAUAAAGAAUUAGAGAGGUGUGCUGGAAAUCUGUUUUUAAAAAGGAGUUUUGCAAGCAGUGCAUAAGGUCAGCCUAUCCUAAACAAAGGAAUGUUAUUUUGCCUGUUUUCCUGUAUCUCCAAUGUAAAUCGAGCCAGGUAAUACCUGUGAUGACAGCAACAGUACAUUUACAUAUUAGGUAAACAAAGCUAUCAAGCUAAAUGUAUGAGGGAAGACUGUUUAAUGAGCAUGACAGGGGAUGGAGCGUACAUCCCCAGGAAGACUACCUGGCUUUUGAAACAGACAAUAGACCUUGAGAAAUAUAAGCAGAAACAGAAAACCAUUUUGGCAUCCAUCUCCUAGGGGACAAAGAGGGAGCAGUGCCCUUUGGGAUCAUGAAAAGUGGAUUCUCUUGGCCUCAAAACCAAGUGGGACUGGAACUGACUGUAGGUGGAUAACCUGCUUAGACAAAGAUUGUAAUUUGCUGAAGUUAAGUUUGUCACUAGAAAAUGUGUUUUGUUUUGCA
Caretta caretta (loggerhead turtle) is the source of this 3125-nucleotide non-coding RNA. NCBI's taxonomy places the organism in Eukaryota, Metazoa, Chordata, Testudines, Cheloniidae. The record is from RefSeq and is a predicted model, not a curated record.